RNAcentral lists this ribosomal RNA (523 nucleotides) under uncultured bacterium. RNAcentral's name for it is "bacterial SSU rRNA". It matches the Rfam family "Bacterial small subunit ribosomal RNA", at positions 355 to 893 of the family's 1533-position model. The record is from RNAcentral.
UGGGGAAUCUUGGACAAUGGGGGCAACCCUGAUCCAGCCAUGCCGCGUGAGUGAUGAAGGCCUUAGGGUCGUAAAGCUCUUUCGCCUGUGAAGAUAAUGACGGUAGCAGGUAAAGAAACCCCGGCUAACUCCGUGCCAGCAGCCGCGGUAAUACGGAGGGGGUUAGCGUUGUUCGGAAUUACUGGGCGUAAAGCGCACGUAGGCGGACCAGAAAGUUGGGGGUGAAAUCCCGGGGGCUCAACCCCGGAACUGCCUCCAAAACUAUUGGUCUAGAGUUCGAGAGAGGUGAGUGGAAUUCCAAGUGUAGAGGUGAAAUUCGUAGAUAUUUGGAGGAACACCAGUGGCGAAGGCGGCUCACUGGCUCGAUACUGACGCUGAGGUGCGAAAGUGUGGGGAGCAAAACAGGAUUAGAUACCCUGGUAGUCCACACCGUAAAACGAUGAAUGCCAGUCGUCGGGUAGCAUGCUAUUCGGUGACACACCUAACGGAUUAAGCAUUCCGCCUGGGGAGUACGGUCGCAAGA